GUGCUCACUUGGGCAGCACAUAUACUAAACUGGAACGAUACAAAGAUUAGCAUGGUCCCUGCACAAGAUGACAUGCAAAUUCAUGAAGCCAUCUACAUUUUU
Small nuclear RNA from Camelus dromedarius (Arabian camel), 102 nucleotides. NCBI's taxonomy places the organism in Eukaryota, Metazoa, Chordata, Mammalia, Artiodactyla, Camelidae. The record is from Ensembl.